GUACUACAGCUCCCAACAUGCUCCUGUAGCCGCUUUGCAAAAUGCCAUAGAGCCGUGUUCGGUUACCAAUAUGAAGCGGAGCAGUAGAAAAGCGGGACGCCUAGAGUGGCUCCACAUUUCGCAGACGUAAGAAAAGAACUAGAGUAAACCACAUUAUUUUCUCGAUGGGUCACUUGCGGGUUAAAUCGGAGAAUCAGUGUUUUUGUUCCGGGGCAGAACAAAGGUCAUAGUCAUAGACAUUAAUAGAGAAAGACAAGAUUUUAGCUUCCCUGUGAUCGAACAGCAGAGUAUCCACCUCAGAGCUGUCAACCUUCCCUUUUUUGCGUGAAUUCCCUUAUUCCAGCGCCGUUUCCUUGCUGCUGUAUCCCUUUGCCGGGUCGCUGCGCUGUGGGAACCACCACUUGAGGCUUCGUUUGGCUGCUGGCUGGGCUUUCAAUUCUGCCUUUGGGCCUUUGGCUCGGAGGGGCUCGGGACGUACCUGUGCUCGGAAUUGGAUGGAUACUAACAUCGAAGGCCCACUCACCCUUGCCGAGGAUAAGAAAGAGAUGGAUGGAGGUGGAGAAGACAUUUCUUCGAAAAAAGCAAAAAAGUUGUGCAAGUAUCUUGAGAAAUGGGAAAGCGAAUUUAGCUUCGUGAAGAAGAGCAGAGUGGGACACGGUCACGCAUUCUGCACAAUUUGCAGUUGUAAUUUUAGUGUCUCCCACGGGGGAAGGAGCGAUGUCACUCAGCAUAAAAAAUCGGCCAAGCACAAGCGCGGGCUAGAGGCACAGAAACAUGCCCCGACAACGUCUGCAUUUGUGACUAGGAAUACCACAGAGGCUGACCAGGUCAUAAAAGCAGAGUUCGCAAUGGCCAUGCUGUGUGCCAAAAACAACAUUUCUUUAACCUUCUGCGACAACUUCAAAAAGUGUGUGGCUGACAUGUUCCCGGACUCUGCCAUUGCACAAAAAUAUUCUGUGGGGAAAACCAAAACUACGCAAAUCAUAAAGGGUGCCAUAGCAGCAGAGCUAGAUGACGAGUUGGCCAAUUCCACCUAGAAACUAAAAGAAGAAGGAAAGAGUUUUCUAGGUCAAGCAAAAAUGUGAUUUUUGAAUAGUUGUUGGGGUUUUUUAGGAAUAUAUUUUUUAUAUUUUAAAUCCUAAAAUACUACAGUAUUAUUAUUGAUACCACCACCACAACAUCGUGAUGAUUUCGCCACUCUUAGAAAUAACUUCACUUAUGUAAUGUUACUACUAACUUGUGACUUAAAUAUUAAAUAAAUAUGAGUGGGUGGUGACAAAGCAUUGAUAAGGAAGUGUCCUGCUUAUGUUGAUUCCCAUGUCAAAUAGAAUCCUUAAUUCAUUCAAUACCAACAACAACCAUGAAAUAAUGACAGUUUGCUGCCCUUUCAUAACACCCAACAGCAGGUGAUGACCGCAUUCUGUCUAAUGUGGAGAUGGGAAACCUGUAGCCCUCCAGAUAUGGCUGGACCACAACUCCCAUUACGCCUUGCCAUAGUGCAUUGCCUUACUCCAGUGGAAACAAGAAAUGUGGAUCCUAUUGUCCUUGCUUACUUUUCCUAUCUGUAUGAUGAGUAGAUCAUAUGGCUUCAAUUCCCAACAUGGCUCACAAAGUUAAAUCUCAGUCUGAUCUAACUUCAGUCCAGAGGUGGGAGCUGUUUUCUGCAAAACCUGCCUUGGAGGGAACAUAGUCCUAAAGAAAGCAGGCCUAUAUUAAAUAUACUAAGGACAUUGUAACAACAUUUUUUAUUAUAGGAUCUUCUGGACCACUAAAAAGCCACAAUGCAUUUGCUUUUCUAAAUGUCGCAUUUGUUUGUUAUUUUUUCCCUUUUAAAUUUAAUUCUUUUAUAAAUAGUUAUGAAAAAUACUGCAAUUUUUUUAAGGGCCAAGAAGAAGCAGAAUAAUGUUUGCAGUGUAUGAUACAGUAUGUGGUGUGACAUCAGUGCAGCUCUGCCAACUAAUAAUGUGAGUUGAGGAGGCGAGGCAAAUCACAUUGACCGUUGUUUGUUUGUUUAAUUUAACCCUAAGUGAAACUGAUAUCAUGGAAACAUACUAUUUCACAGUACAUAACUUACUUUAUGAAUUUUGCUGCCUCUGAAUGUCUUGAUGGCCUUAGGUGGUUUUAAAAGUGGAUUAGAUGAAUAAAUAGAGAAUAGAUCUACCAAUGGUUACUCGUCAUAAGGUCUUUGUCAAAUACCAGUUGAUGGGGAGCAGGAGUAAGCUAUUGCCUUCAUGCUCUGCUUCUGGGCUUUGCUGGAGCAUAUGAUUGACUACUGUAAGAAAUAGGAUGUUAUGGUCAUGCUUUGCAUGCAGUUGAUCCCAGGUUCAAUCCUUGACAUCUGUCCGAAACUCUGGAAACCACUGCCAGUCAGUAGAGAUAGUACUGAGCUAGAUGCAGGGCCAACCAUACCAUUAGAUAAACUGAGUUAGGCGCCUUAGACAGCUUCUUUUGGAUGUCAUAAUAGGGGCAGCAAGUGGUCAGUUGUUUAAUUUCUUUUAUUGCAGUUGUACUCCCAAGGAGGGUGAUAGGCACUUGUGGGGGAGCUCUGCCUUCAGGUGCCAAAAUUACUUGACUGGCCUCAGAUGUUAUGCACCAGAAGCUGGAGGAGGAGGCGUGGAGAACCAUUUGCCGCUCUGCCUCAGGCAGCAAAAUGUCUUGGGUCUGUCCUGACUAGAUGAAUUUGUGGGUUAGUGUAAGGCAGCUUCCUGUACUCCUGCCUAUUAAAUAGGAGCAGUGUCUCCUUUCCCAUGAAAGGUGUAUCUGUGCCAGUGGGACUUAUUUGGGAGGAGCAAAGGAUUUUGUAGUGACAGAUAAAAUAACAGAAUUCCUAAGUGAUACCUCUUUUUUUACACUCCCAUACUUUCCCAAGUGGUUGAUAUUCCUGGGCAAUAUUCAACAGUGUGCUUUUAAGAGGAGAAACUUAUUUCUUAAUAUUUAGUGCUGAGUCAAAAAAAAUAAAUCCCAGGAUUUCCCCCAUCCCCAACCAUUCUCCAUCACAAUGUACGUUAGACUAAGUCCAGUCUUUAUUGAGCAUUUUUUUCUGAUUUGUUAAGUUAUACAACAUUCAUUCAAAAUUCAUUCUGAUUUGAUUGUGUGAUGGUUAAUCAUCCAGGUUAAUUGUUUGUUCAUCUCACACUUUCAGUUCUUCCACAUCACUUUUCUAAUUGCAACAUUCCUUUAAAAGGGGGGUGGCGGGAUUUAUUGCACUAGAGCACUGUAAUCCACUUUAAUUGCACUAACCUACAUUUGUAGUUUGUGCCUGAAUCCCUCCUGCAAAAGAUGGACAGUCUGAAGGCAACCCUAGAGAGGGGCCUGCUUUGCAUAAUCACGAGCAAAUUUAUUACACCUCCUUGCUGCUUUCAAGGAAAGCUAUCACAAGCAUUUGAUGGGUGACAUUUGCCAUAGUCUUCUGUGACAGCUGUUUGGCAUGACAGGGGCACAACUGUCUCCUAUAGAUAGGAAAGGCAGAGCUGCCUCUAUUAAUAAAGUGUGGUGGUGUGAGGUUGCAAAUUCAUCCCAUGGCUUUGAUAACCCUAGAGCAAGGCCUCGCACCCGAGGGCACGUUUCAGAGCAGAGACAGAAGGUGGGUGCCAGAGGGGCAGAAGGCUGUGCGUUUACUUCAUACCACAACCGUCCAAAAUCUGCACCCAAGCAAGUUUAAUUUUGUGAGCCAGUGUGGUAUAGUGGUUAGUGAGUUGGAUUGGGGCCUAGGGAGAGCAGGGUUCAAAUCCCAACUCAGCCAUCCAAAUGAAUCAAUCAUACUCAUCUCCAAAUGCAGCUAGGAGAGAACAAUGGAGAGCUGCUGCCACCAGAUUGGUAGAUCUACUGAGCUAGAUGGACUAAUGCAGAGCUGCCAUUCUAUACAAGGCCGCUUCAUGGCAAGAGGGAGAUUGGCUUGGCUCCUUCCAUCACCUGGUGUCAGCUCAGUUGCUCCUAUGCCUGUUUUCCCUCUUCCCUUUCCUUCCCUUUCCUUUUUCCUCCUGUAUCAUGCCUACUAGAUCGUGAAUCUGCAGACAGGAACCGUCUUACCUUUUAAAAUUGUAGAUGUUGAGGAUAAUGAUUAGAGGAGGAAUUGUUCAUAAGACCGUAAAGUCCAAAGUUGGAUAAUUACCCAACUAUCCCACUGCCUUUCUGGGUAACAGAAAAGCUGAGUAGAAAAACUACCCCCCUGGAUGAGGGGCCCACCCCAAACGGCACUUCAUACCUGCGCUUUAAGCUGUAAUUGGUGCUUAUACUGAACGGAUACUCUUGACUCCCAAAUGUUUAACUUGGGGGAUUUCUGUUUAUCACUGGACUUAACCCAGGAUACUUUAGGGCUUUGCAAAUCAACAAUGGCUCACCUUUUUCUCUUGUGCAGCCAAGGAAUGUUCCCUGGUCUUUGAAGAGUGGCAGACGGCCCCAAUACCACCCUUAAUAUAACCAAGGGGCCUUGCUCUUACAUGGGGAAAAAUGUUUCUCUGUAAUUUAUGGGGCUUUUAAACUAGGUGGGGUCCUUUUUGUGCUUGACGAAAACAGCAUAAGGAGGAAGGAAUGCCACAUCAAUGCAUACCCUCCCCUUCCCCUCCAAAAUAAAUGAGUGGGAUUGAAAACAUAAUGAGAAUUUCCAGAGAUGGGGUUGAUGGGUGAGUUCCUCCUCUCUGUUAGUUUCCUCUAGGGAAGGGAGAGCUGAAGGGGAUAAUGGCAUCAAUGGGGGGUGAACACUAUAGAGAAAACACAGAUGCAACUUAGUUUUUGCUGAUGCUGCAAAUAGCAUUUAAAUAUAUCUAUGUAUAUCAGAUUAGCUUGGUUGGGAAUGGAUUUUGGAUUGGUUUUGUUAGUGUAGUUACAUUAUCCACACAUCACAGCAGCAAGCAAGACUUUGAGCCACUCUGGUCUCAUUUCUGUGGUAUUUUUUAAUCGUCAGUCCAAUACAGAGAACUGACAAACAGGUAAAGAAGUACAGUGGUACCUUGGUUUAAGAACAGCUUAGUUUAUGAACAACUUGGAUUAAGAACACUGCAAACCCAGAAGUAGGUGUUUUGGUUUGUGAACUUUGCCUUGGAAUAAGAACAUGUUUCGCUUCCUGUUGAGUGUGUUCCAUUUAUAAAUUGAGUCCCCCGCUGCUAUGGGAAAGUACGCCUUGGUUUAAGAACAUUUUGGUUUAAGAAUGGACUUCCUGAAUGGAUUAAGUUCAUAAACCAGGGUACCAUUGUACUUUCUUUCCUACACUUGCCCUUUGCUGCUAUGCUCAGAAGCUGUGAGGUUAGGAGUUUAAAAUAUAAACUGCUAUUCUUCUCAGAAAACUACAAAAGGAUACAUUUUUAAAUGACCAUCACCACAGGUGAUGGGUGAACUCUCCUUUGCUCAAACAAAGAUGGUCUUGGCUUUGUUCUCUCCCAUCUUGUAAUGAUAGUGCACGAGUGCUGAUGGUGGUCCACAUGAACCUUGUUGCGUUGUUCCCUGGGAAUUAAUUGAUCUGAGCACCAACGAUGAAAGAAAAAUUCAACUGCCUCCCCCCUCAAAACAUAUAUGGGAGCGGGAUGAGUGGCAGCAACUGAGAGAAGUACGGUAAUAAAGAGAAUUGACUUAUUGUAAACAUUACAGAAUGUGUCCCUUUCGGCCUCUCUUCGUGGCCUUUUUGACCUUCCUCUGGAUACACCCAUCGCCAGCCCUGCUCCACACCAUCCUUUAUUGCUUUUACCUGGCUGGAAAGUGUCCUUGAGCUCUGAUAAAGACUUGCAUGGUGGAUGGAGGGCAAAGAGGGGUGUGUAUAAAAAGUAGCCUAGUGAAAGGUAACUUCUACAUCCAUUGCUGGGAAUCAGAAGUGGGGGGCUUGUUUGGCCACUAUGAGAACAAGAUGCUGGACUAGCAGGGCUCUCAUUACAUGAUUUCUUGAAAAAAGAAAAAUGGAUAAGCUGAUGAACAUAUCACACACAAAUGUUAAUGCAGUGCUAAUUCAUAUAUGUAUGGCAGGCAGCCCACCUUUAAGUGUAGAGGAGGGAGAAGAGUGAUGGCUGAGUCAGUAACUGGUUUCCACACCUGCCAUUUCUGCACUGCAGCUGGGCUCACCUCACAGCUGAAUGGCGUGCCCUGACCUCUCUUUUUUUGCUCCAGCUGCCUCCAUUCCUUUUCUUGUUCUCCCCCAUGCAGCCAUUUGGAACUUUAGCUGGAAUCUAUCAGCCUGAGGACGAAUGGUUCUUGGGGCUUUUGUUUUCCUUUUUACGCAGGUGGGAGCCUUUCUUUCUCACCUACAGAAAAUGCUGACAGUAAAACUGCAGUUUCCAUUGUGGGUGAGGAACAGGCCAAAGCACGUUGACUCUGGUUCCUCUUGGCCAAGCUCAGGCUCCAAGGGUCUCGUCAAGUUAUGGAUAUGCCAGAAGUCCUGGCUUCUCAUCCAAACAGCUGCGGGGGGGAAGGGGGGAGGCAGCUAGAUCCCCCCAGCAGACCUCUGGAGUUUUCCAUGUGCUACGUGUUGGCCAUCCAUUACUUCAUAGCCAUUCCUGCUGUCUGGCACAGAGAAAAAGCAGAUGGCAAGGACCUGUGGCACUGUCAGAUCCGAUCAGACCCAGCUGGUGUUUUUAGCCAGAGUUUUUUUGGGGUGUGUGUGUGGAUGUGAUCUGGAUUACAUCCCAACCUGCAAUGCCCAUAUCUGCUUUGCGUGCAGAAGGUCUCAAGUUCAGACCCUGACAUCUCCAGGUAAGGCUGGGAAAGGAGCACUGCCUGAAACCCAGGAGAACCACUGCCAGUCAGUGUAGACAAUGCCUGUCUCUUUUUCUGCAUCCGUUUUGUGUUAUGGCAGCCAUUUUGGGGCUGGUGCCAGCCAUGGCACUUUCUCAAAAUUCUGAAUGUGCCCACUGGCCUAGGAAAGCUGGUGACCCCUGCUCAACAGUCUAACAUACUAUUUCCAUAUCUUCCAUAUCAGCCAGCUCUGAGCCUGGAACCUGUCUGGAUCAUUGCAAGAUUCGAGGGUCAUGACAAAAAUAGCCUCCCAUUGGCUUCAUUGGGAGCAGGGUCAGGAGGUUAGUCCAUGGGCCAGGGGCAGAUCCCCACUAGACCACAUCUAGCCCAUGGGCUGGAAGUUCCCCAUCCCGGCUCUUACCAUUAUACUCACUCGGACUCCAAUGUUUGGCUGGCAGCAGCUUCCUCUAGCUCCAUACCCGUGUAGAAGUGAAGCCAGAACAACAAUUGCUUGAGAUUGUGAUCACAGCGACUGUUGUAAAAACCAAGCAGUCAUUCCAGAGGUGUAUCCAAAUUCAAUCCUGUAUUUCAGCCAAAAUCUAUUCAUCAUAACCAGGGUCACUUUCCAAACUGAGAGUGGAAGCCUGAAUGUAUAGAAAUUAUAUGUUUAAUGUACAUGACAUAAUCCCCCAAGUUGGCAAUCACAAUUUCAGUUUCCAGAGAAGACUUGGAUAUUAUCCUGCUUGAGUAUGAAAGAUUAUCCUCAAGUCAGUGUUCUUCUGGACCGUGGAUUGGCAUCUGUGGUGUGCUGGAGUCUGUUAGAGAUGAUAGUACAAAGUCUUCUAGCAGCAGAGUCUGACCUGGUGAGAAAAAAUACUUUGUUUACCCCUUGGAGGCAGAGAGAUGGGGGAGGGGGCCCCAGAAGCCCCUUUAAUUGAGCAUUUAUCAUGAUUUGAAUUCAUGUUGGUAUUGGAGCAGCUACACACGAGUCUACUUUCAGGACACUUUGGUGCAAUCCACACACGUAUAAAAACCAUUCUGAAAAUGCUUUUUUUAAAAGCAUUUUUUUUAAAAAAAAUACAUUGAAUUUUCCAUAAGGCAUCUAGUGUCACAUUGUAUAUUGCACUUAAAACACACUUAAAAUGUUUUAUUUGCAGCUGUAUAGCUGAUUCCUUUGUGCCUGCAAAAGUGUGGUGGACAUACUGCUUUGUUUCCAAUCAACGCAUCACCUGCAAAUUCCUGCUGAAAUCCUGUACCUUUUUACACAAUAAAUGUUCUGGCUUAUUUCUGAACCUGCUUUUGUUGUGCUACAGGGUAAUUCUUGGGCCUGGAGGCAGCUUCUAGACCAAGCAUCUGUUCUGUUGUGGAUUUUUCUCCAAAUGUCCACACACUACGUUCAGCCUGGAUAAGGAGCCGUGUACUGUAAUUUAAAAUGCUCUAGAGCUGGACAGAAAUAUUACCCCCGAUGACCUCUAAAUCAGAGUGAUUAUGCUAGCCAAAAUAUUUGUGUUUCAGAGAUAUUAAUGAGCAUAGCCACACACACAAACAUCUCGCAAAAUUUAAAAUAUGCAAGGGGCCAGUGAUCCAGAUGAACUAUUUUGCAAGAUAUUUCUCAGGAGGAGGGGGAAUGAAGGGCAGAAUGGGUUGUUUAAAACGAGGACUCUUGACCACUUAAAGUAGUACUAGCUUAUUAACUGUAUACCCUUGAAUUGACUAUUUAAUCAUCUCCAUUUUACAUAAAUUUCAUACUCCCAAAGGCUCAGCAAAAAUACAUUUUUUAAUAUAUUGAAGGAAAUGUGAGAACGUACAACAUUUUAAAACUCUGCAACUAGAAAGGGGGAAAGGCAAGGAGGGGACAUUACAGAGGUAUAUAAAAUUAUGCAUAGUAUGAAGAAAGUAGAUACAUAAAUGUAUUUCUCUCUCAUAAUACUAGAACUCCAAGAUAACUAAUAAGGCUAAACGUUGGAAGAUUCAGGACGGAUAAAGAAAAUACUUCACACAGCAUAUAGUUAAAAAACUAUGGAAUUUGCUCCCACAAUACGUAGUGAUAGCCACCACCUUGGAUUGCUCUGAAAGAUUAAAAAAAAUCACAGAGGGUAAAGCUAUCAAUAGCUGCUGGCCAUGAUUGCUAUGUUGUGCCUCCACUGUUGGAGGCAGUAUUCCUCAGACUGCCAGAUGCUGGAAAUCACAAGAGGGGACAGUGCUUUUGUACUUGUGUCAAGUUUAUGGGUUUCCCAAAGGCAUCUGGUUGGCAACUGUUUGAACAAGGAGGCCGGACUAGAUGGGUGUCUGAGGUUCUUUAUAUUAAAUAGAAGAAAAUGCCAUUUUAAAGUUUGUUUUCAAAGAAGGACUUCAGUUUCAUUUAAUAUCCCAAACUUUUGGGGGCCUACAACAUUUCCCAGACUUUGGCCCAAGAUGAAGUGUCAUAAAGACAGGAUGUCCAAAAUUUGGGGGGGGGGACAGAAAGAGGCAAAUUGAAUAGCACUUUGUAAGAAACAAAUUCACCUGGGCAGAGAUCCAAGUCAGAAAACAUUGUUGCACGCCACCCCAGUCUCUGAGUGGUGCAAGAUUCCAGGGGUUCCAAGCGCCUACCCAAGGUUCAGUUUCCUUGGAAUGAGGGGAUACCAGAGACUGUGGUGUCUUUAUGCUAUACAGUGGUACCUCGGGUUACAGACACUUCAGGUUACAGACUCUGCUAACCCAGAAAAAGUACCUCGGGUUAAGAACGUUGCUUCAGGAUGAGAACAGAAAUCGUGCGGCAGCAGGAGGCCCCAUUAGCUAAAGUGAUACCUCAGGUUAAGAACAUUUCAGGUUAAGAACGGACCUCCAGAACGAAUUAAGUUCUUAACCUGAGGUCCCACUGUAAGGUUUAUUUACACAUAUAUACAACCUGAGCCUACAUUGGAGGGGCUCACAACAUUAACACCCUAAGAGGGUCUUGAUCAGGCAUCCCCAAACUGCGGCCCUCCAGAUGUUUUGGCCUACAACUCCCAUGAUUCCUAGCUAAGAGGACCAGUGGUCAGGGAUGAUGGGAAUUGUAGUCCAAAACAUCUGGAGGGCCGAAGUCUGGGGAUGUCUGGUCUUGAUUCUCUCAUAACUACAGCCUUGGAUUCGAACAGAAAUCAGACAUGUCUCUCCCUCUCAGGCUUCUGCCUGCAGCCUGCUUCUAACUUCUAGUCCUCUCACACACCUCAACUCUGGCUUUUGUCCUUCUAACUACUAGCCAGUUGAGGGAGGAGAGCCCACCCAUUUUCCUCUGGUACAGAGCUACUUCCUUCAUUAAUGACCUGUACCUAGGGGCCGUUACCAAUAAGAUUGCCUGGCUAUCCCAACAAUUGAAUCCUUGUUGGAUCCAGGAAUUAGAAGGGACUCAGGCAUGCAGCCUAACCCCCCCACCCCCACAACUCACAACAACAUAGAGGUGGGAAUCAAAACAGCCUUCCCCCACUUCGAAAUCUCAUCAUGCCAAAUUCCUUCUUAUGCCAGGAGGCCCCCAACAUAGCUGGAACUCUGAAGCAGGAAGUCCUGGGACUUUGUUAUUAGAUAGAAGAUGACUAGAUAAAACACUGAACUCCUCUAAGAGGCUCAUACAGCCACAGUUAAUGACUUAUUUUUCCCCCACCCGACUCCACAUUUCCCCUGUGAGCAAUUCUAUGUGAAACUGCACCAUGUUAGCAAUUCUCAUAUCAAAAAACACUAGGGGUGUGCACAGGCCCCAGGGUUCACCUUAAAAAAAAUCCUAUAUGUUUGUUCUUUGCUUUGUAGUUUGGGAUUUGAGCCAUUGUGUCAAAAUAAAGCCCCGUGUUCCCUCUUCACUCUUUAUGUGGUUCUAAAAACUCUUAUAACUUUUCCCCCCAUUUGGCAGAAAUAGAUGAAAUUUGCCAGCACAAGAACUCCUCCAGAGUGGAUUAAGCCUGCCAAAUUGCAGACAAAUAAGCUCAGAGACUUUUGUGAGGGGAAUUAAAGUGAUUUACUUUACUCCAUGGUCCAUAUUAGGUCAAUGCUUUUAUUAGGCCAAGUAAAACACCAAAAUCGAUGUUAGUUUCACAUUUUUGAGGGGAGCAGGGUUUGUUUCUUGCACUUUCUUUUCCUAAAAUAAUGAAGGGUGGCUGAGUAGCUUGUAUAUUUAAAAUAUAUAUACUGUAUUUGCAGCUUCAUGCUGGCUGUCUUGACUUUCCACGUACUUUUUUUAGUGUCGAGAGAGGAUGCCCUUCAGUAGGCAUUACAGGUGAAAAUAUACUUAGCCUUGGGUGUGAAUGGGAGUUCUGGAGUAUUUUUUUCCCUCCCAUGCAGAAC
Zootoca vivipara (common lizard) is the source of this 10953-nucleotide long non-coding RNA. RefSeq lists it as uncharacterized. The record is from RefSeq and is a predicted model, not a curated record. Lineage: Eukaryota; Metazoa; Chordata; Lepidosauria; Squamata; Lacertidae.